GGAGUCUGGACCGUGUCUCAGUUCCAAUGUGGCCGUUCAUCCUCUCAGACCGGCUACUGAUCGUCGCCUUGGUAGGCCGUUACCCCACCAACCAGCUAAUCAGACGCAGACCCGUCGCAAAGCGAUAGCUUACAAGUAGAGGCCAUCUUUAAUCAUCUCUCCAUGCGGAGAAAUGACAACAUUCGGUAUUAGCAGUCCUUUCGGACUGUUGUCCCCAUCUUUGCGGCAGGUUGUCUACGCGUUACUCACCCGUUUGCCACUCGACUUUCAAAAGCAAGCUUUCAAUCGUCUCGUUCGACUUGCAUGUGUUAAGCACGCCGCCAGCGUUCGUC
This 332-nucleotide ribosomal RNA is filed under the name Pseudoselenomonas ruminantium. RNAcentral describes it as "Selenomonas ruminantium partial 16S ribosomal RNA". The record is from RNAcentral. Lineage: Bacteria; Bacillati; Bacillota; Negativicutes; Selenomonadales; Selenomonadaceae.